RNAcentral lists this ribosomal RNA (465 nucleotides) under uncultured bacterium. Its description in RNAcentral is "partial 16S ribosomal RNA". It matches the Rfam family "Bacterial small subunit ribosomal RNA", at positions 339 to 795 of the family's 1533-position model. The record is from RNAcentral.
CUACGGGUUGCUGCAGUGGGGAAUAUUGGACAAUGGGGGAAACCCUGAUCCAGCAAUGCCGCGUGUGUGAAGAAGGCCUGCGGGUUGUAAAGCACUUUCGGUUGGGAGGACUGCUUCUAGCACUAAUAUUGUUGGAAGUUGACGUUACCUUCAGAAGAAGCACCGGCUAACUCCGUGCCAGCAGCCGCGGUAAUAUGGAGGGUGCAAGCGUUAAUCGGAAUUACUGGGCGUAAAGCGCGCGUAGGCGGCUAGAUCAGUCGGGUGUGAAAGCGCCGGGCUUAACCUGUGAACUGCAUCCGAUACUGUCUAGCUUGAGUACAGGAGAGGAGAGUGGAAUUCCACAUGUAGCGGUGAAAUGCGUAGAUAUGUGGAGGAACACCAAUGGCGAAGGCAGCUCUCUGGCCUGAUACUGACGCUGAGGUGCGAAAGCGUGGGGAGCAAACAGGAUUAGAUACCCCGGUAGUC